Molecule: ribosomal RNA, 200 nt
Filed under: uncultured bacterium
Lineage: Bacteria
Description: partial 16S ribosomal RNA
Rfam family: Bacterial small subunit ribosomal RNA
Source: RNAcentral
GCAGGCUGCAACUCGCCUGCAUGAAGCCGGAAUUGCUAGUAAUCGCGGAUCAGCAUGCCGCGGUGAAUACGUUCCCGGGCCUUGUACACACCGCCCGUCACACCAUGGGAGUCGGUAACACCCGAAGUCAGUAGUCCAACCUCGUGAGGACGCUGCCGAAGGUAGGAUUGGCGACUGGGGUGAAGUCGUAACAAGGUACC